Molecule: ribosomal RNA, 216 nt
Filed under: uncultured bacterium
Lineage: Bacteria
Description: partial 16S ribosomal RNA
Rfam family: Bacterial small subunit ribosomal RNA
Source: RNAcentral
GUCCCAGUUCAGAUUGCAGUCUGCAACUCGGCUGCAUGAAGUCGGAAUCGCUAGUAAUCGCGGAUCAGCAUGCCGCGGUGAAUACGUUCCCGGGCCUUGUACACACCGCCCGUCACACCAUGAGAGUCGGGAACACCCGAAGUCCGUAGCCUAACCGCAAGGGGGGCGCGGCCGAAGGUGGGUUCGAUAAUUGGGGUGAAGUCGUAACAAGGUAGC